UGGCAGACGGGUGAGUAACGCGUGGGAACAUACCCUUUCCUGCGGAAUAGCUCCGGGAAACUGGAAUUAAUACCGCAUACGCCCUACGGGGGAAAGAUUUAUCGGGGAAGGAUUGGCCCGCGUUGGAUUAGCUAGUUGGUGGGGUAAAGGCCUACCAAGGCGACGAUCCAUAGCUGGUCUGAGAGGAUGAUCAGCCACAUUGGGACUGAGACACGGCCCAAACUCCUACGGGAGGCAGCAGUGGGGAAUAUUGGACAAUGGGCGCAAGCCUGAUCCAGCCAUGCCGCGUGAGUGAUGAAGGCCUUAGGGUUGUAAAGCUCUUUCACCGAUGAAGAUAAUGACGGUAGUCGGAGAAGAAGCCCCGGCUAACUUCGUGCCAGCAGCCGCGGUAAUACGAAGGGGGCUAGCGUUGUUCGGAAUUACUGGGCGUAAAGCGCACGUA
This 442-nucleotide ribosomal RNA is filed under the name Rhizobium sp. RNAcentral's name for it is "bacterial SSU rRNA". It matches the Rfam family "Bacterial small subunit ribosomal RNA", at positions 96 to 573 of the family's 1533-position model. Lineage: Bacteria; Pseudomonadati; Pseudomonadota; Alphaproteobacteria; Hyphomicrobiales; Rhizobiaceae. The record is from RNAcentral.